AAAUAUUUUUCAUUACAAUAUAUAUAUUUAUAAACCGCAUAUUUUUGUUUAUUAUAAAAAUGCUUCGUAAUUGUAUCGUAUCAAAAAUGCCAUUUUUUAACUUUUUAUUUAUGAAUCGUCUAUAUCAUCAAAAACUUAUAACAAAACAUUCUUUAAUGUGUAUAAAUUAUACACAUAAUUUAGCUGGUAAACAACAAAGAAUAAAAGAAAAUGUGCAACCAGUUAAUAAAUUUGCUUCAAGAUCUCAUACAUGUGGUGAACUAAGACUACAAAAUGUAGGAGAGAAUGUUCAAUUAUGUGGGUGGUUAGAAUUUUUAAGAGCUGACAAAUUUUUGGUAUUGAGAGAUUCUUAUGGUUCUACACAAUUUAUUAUACCUACACAUAGAAAGGACUUACGAGAAAUGGCUAGGAAUUUGACCUUUGAAAGUAUAUUGAGCAUAGAAGGUAGAGUAUUAAAAAGACCAAAGGGUCAAAAGAAUAAGUGCAUGGGAACUGGAGAUAUUGAAGUAGAAAUAAAAUCCUUGAAAGUUUUAAACAUAGCAAGUUUAAAUAUUCCAUUUAUUAUUAGAGACUAUAAUAAGGCAAAUGAAAACGUACGAAUGAAGUAUAGAUACAUAUCAUUAAGAUAUCCUGAAUUACAAAAGAAUUUAAGAUUACGUUCAGAAGUGAUAAUGAAGAUGAGAGAAUACCUAAUUAAAGAAUGCAAUUUUGUCGAUAUUGAAACUCCAACAUUAUUUAAAAAUACUCCUGAAGGAGCACAUGAAUUUAUAGUCCCAACAAAACUCUUGGAUCAAUUUUAUUCAUUAGUACAGAGUCCCCAACAAUUUAAACAAUUAUUAAUGGUUGGUGGCUUUGAUAGAUAUUUUCAAGUUGCAAGAUGUUACAGGAAUGAAAAGCCUAGACAUGAUAGACAACCUGAAUUUACACAGCUGGAUAUUGAAAUGUCAUUCGUUGAUUGUGAAGGAAUAAUGAUGUUAAUUGAAAACUUAUUAGCAUAUUCUUGGCCUCAAGAAUCAGGAGAAUUAACUAUUCCUUUUAAACACAUAAAAUACGAGGAUGCAAUGGAAUUAUAUGGUACAGACAAACCAGAUUUACGAAUACCACAACAACUUUGUAGACUGACGGAAUUAAUUGAUCAUUCAGUAUUAGAACAAAGUUUAAAAAUGGAACAAAAUGAACACUGUGAAGUUUAUGCUCUAGUUUUUUCCCAAAAACAUGAUUUUCUUACAAAAUCUAUCAAAGAUACUAUAUCUGAACUACAGUGUACUUAUUUCCCUUCUGUGAAAUUAAUACAAACAAAGAUACCUAACAAAUCGCCAGUAAUAACAAAUAUUAUUGAUGGAAAUGUACAACAAAAGUUAAAUUUAAAAAAAGGAGAUGUACUGUUUUUAGCUUGUGGAGAAAAAGUAAACACGCAAUCACUAUUAGGAAAAGUACGUCUUGAAUUUACAAAGUUUUUAGAAAGUGAAGAUCAAGAAAUCUUUACUAGUAGGAAUGAAUUAUUAUGGAUCACUGAUUUCCCUUUAUUUUCGUUUAAUACUGAAACAAAUUCAUUAGAAACUAUGCAUCAUCCAUUCACGCAACCUCAUCCAGAUGAUAUGCAAUAUCUUAUGAACAAUCCACUGAAGGUUAGAGGAUUGCAUUAUGAUUUGGUUAUGAAUGGUUUCGAGAUCGCAGGAGGAUCGAUACGAAUCCAUGACUCAAAAUUACAAAAACAACUAUUUAAGAUGCUAAAUAUAGAUGAAACACACUUAAUGCAUGUACUUGAUGCUUUAGAAUCUGGUGCUCCACCUCAUGGUGGAAUUGCUAUAGGAUUGGACCGUUUAAUGUGUUUGCUCUGUAACACAGAAAAUAUAAAAGACGUGAUAGCAUUUCCAAAAACUACUACAGGUCGAGAUUUAAUGUCAGGAGCUCCGGGUCCCAUUUCUGAGGAAAUAAAAAGAUUCUAUAACAUACAGACGGUAGACAAAUAAAACAAUAUUCAAGAAGUAUCUUUUGUAUUUUUUACUCUAUUGUAAAAAUAUUUAUAAGAGGCUAGCUGGUCAUAUUCACUUCAAAAACAGAAGUGAAAAGGGAGAACACUAAUGUAAUAUUAACAAAGUCAAUCAAACAAUGUGAACUAAGGAUAAGGGCCUCUAGUGGUCAGUGCCCGAACUAUAUGCACAUUUCUUUUCCGAUGCUCUGGGUGAAAGAAAUGUGCAUAUGUACGACGAGAAGGGAAAUUCGUAUUGACGAUCGGCGAAGGAUAAGGGUAAAAAAAUAUAAAAAUUACUUGAAGACUUAAUGAAAUAUUAGAAGUAAAUUCCUUUCCUUUGUAUUGUAAAAAUAACAAUAAGGAUACUAAGGAUACAACUGGCAACAACGAUUAUUAGAAAUGAUUAUACAGUACAAUAAAAAAUGAGAUUAUUUGUUGUAAGAUAAUUAUAUGAAUGUAUUUAGAAAUAGUUUCAAUAAAUCAGACCGUAGUUUAACAACAUUUUACAAUCUUGUUGUUUGUCCUUGUCACUCUCCAAUUCCAUAAAAAUAAAAAAUCAAAAAAUGCAAUCGGGAAAUAUUUAAGAACGCGUGGAACUUUAAGAGGUAUAGUAUAACAAACGACCGCGAAAUAGUUUUCAAAAAUUCCGAGAUGUGAUGUCAAAUUCCAAGUAUUAUUGAAAUAGUGCUGCCUCUUAUAAUAUUAUAUUCUCCUAUUAUAAAAUCGAGAUUUUGAUGAAAUAUUUUUUCAAGAACCCAAAAAUAUAAUCUAAAAAAUUUCUGGAAUGUAAUGUUAUUUUCGAAUUGUACCACUUCCUAUUACCAUGUUUUCCUGAUACAAAAUCGCUAUUUUAGCCGAUAAAUUUUUUAUUCUCAUAUGUCCUUAGAAAAUUACCUGUUUUCAAGAAUUUGAAAAGAUUCGAAAUACCUCUUAUGUUGUUUUAUUCUCUUAAUAUUUAUCAAAACUUAUCAAUUUUCUCAAACUCUUUCGUCGUUUUUUAUAACUUGUUCGUUAAACUUUUGGAAACUUAUUGGAAAGGAUUUGAGGAUUUUAUUCAUUUGCAAAAUAAAAUUAUUUUAUUCAAUUCAAUCUGUAAGUUUAUAAGAAUUGUAUAAUUCUACAAUGAGUUCGUAAUUUUCUGUAUAACAAUUUGUGUAAUCGCGUACUUUUAUAAUAAUUUCAUUCCGUUAAUUAAUCGAUAGAUCUAAAACAAUUCCUCUCAUACGAAAAUUGAAAAUGACGAUCAAAACCUAUAAGAGCAUUGAUUCAUCGGUGAUAAGAGUUCGCAAUAGAGCCUAUUUUUGGUCAGUUCCGUACGAUCUGAUACUAACAUACAUUUUCACCUCUUGCUAUGCAUACGCACAUUUCUCCCGUCAAAAACAUCGUAGGAAGAACUGUGCAUAUAGUUCGAUCGUUUGAUCACUAGAGGUGAUAAUUUGUGAAGCGUAUUUUUGGCUAAAUUCCUCCCAUACUCAUCAGUGAUCUUCGUAUUAUAAUAAUUCCUACUUAAUGUUCGCUUUUUUUGCCAUAUUUUGGACAUAUUCUUAUAUUCACUCACUUAUAUUUUACCUCGAUUAAUGUUCUUGUAAUCACCUUCAUCAAUUCUUAGGACUGUUUCUCCAAAGCGAGUAUGUUCAUUUGCCGUAAAUAUGUCUCACUCUCGCUCCCAAUGCAAACUGAGCUGAACGUACUGAAAAAAGCAAUUCCUGGGAUACACCUUUCUAGAUAAUAUUCACCACGUGAACCCAACCAACGUACAUUAAGCGGGUAGUAGUGUAUAUGAACAUUUAUAUGUAUAUUACUUUAUGACAUUAAUUUUAUAAGAAAAUCUCAUACGUUUCAUUCAUCUGUAAUCAAAGUAAAUACUCAAACUUUGGUAUUCUGCUUUUCUUAAGGUUAAAAAAAUGCAUAAACAUGUUUACUCUAUUCGAGUCUAUGAUCCAAAUAAAAUUGAAUAUAUAUACUUUCAA
Molecule: RNA transcript, 3945 nt
Organism: Bombus huntii
Lineage: Eukaryota; Metazoa; Arthropoda; Insecta; Hymenoptera; Apidae
Gene: AspRS-m
Gene name: aspartate--tRNA ligase, mitochondrial
Exons: 11
Source: RefSeq, a predicted model, not a curated record